AUUGAACGCUGGCGGCAGGCCUAACACAUGCAAGUCGAGCGAGCGGCGGACGGGUGAGUAAUGUCUGGGAAACUGCCUGAUGGAGGGGGAUAACUACUGGAAACGGUAGCUAAUACCGCAUACCAUCAGAUGUGCCCAGAUGGGAUUAGCUAGUAGGUGGGGUAACGGGUCACCUAGGCGACGAUCCCUAGCUGGUCUGAGAGGAUGAACAGCCACACUGGAACUGAGAAACGGUCCAGACUCCUACGGGAGGCAGCGUUGGUGAAUAGUGCACAAUGGGCGCAAGCCUGAUGCAGCCAGGCCGCGUGUGUGACGAAGGCCUUCGGGUUGUAAAGCACUUUCAGCGGGGAGGCGUUACCCGCAGAAGAAGCACCGGCUAACUCCGUGCCAGCAGCCGCGGUAAUUC
RNAcentral lists this ribosomal RNA (406 nucleotides) under uncultured bacterium. RNAcentral's name for it is "partial 16S ribosomal RNA". It matches the Rfam family "Bacterial small subunit ribosomal RNA", at positions 30 to 526 of the family's 1533-position model. The record is from RNAcentral.